Molecule: ribosomal RNA, 497 nt
Filed under: uncultured bacterium
Lineage: Bacteria
Description: partial 16S ribosomal RNA
Rfam family: Bacterial small subunit ribosomal RNA
Source: RNAcentral
GACGAACGCUGGCGGCGUGCCUAAUACAUGCAAGUUGAGCGAUGAAGAUUGGUGCUUGCCCCAAUUUGAAGAGCAGCGAACGGGUGAGUAACGCGUGGGGAAUCUGCCUUUGAGCGGGGGACAACAUUUGGAAACGAAUGCUAAUACCGCAUAACAACUUUAAACAUAAGUUUUAAGUUUGAAAGAUGCAAUUGCAUCACUCAAAGAUGAUCCCGCGUUGUAUUAGCUAGUUGGUGAGGUAAAGGCUCACCAAGGCGAUGAUACAUAGCCGACCUGAGAGGGUGAUCGGCCACAUUGGGACUGAGACACGGCCCAAACUCCUACGGGAGGCAGCAGUAGGGAAUCUUCGGCAAUGGACGAAAGUCUGACCGAGCAACGCCGCGUGAGUGAAGAAGGUUUUCGGAUCGUAAAACUCUGUUGGUAGAGAAGAACGUUGGUGAGAGUGGAAAGCUCAACAAGUGACGGUAACUACCCAGAAAGGGACGGCUAACUACGUG